RNAcentral lists this ribosomal RNA (497 nucleotides) under uncultured bacterium. Its description in RNAcentral is "partial 16S ribosomal RNA". It matches the Rfam family "Bacterial small subunit ribosomal RNA", at positions 28 to 507 of the family's 1533-position model. The record is from RNAcentral.
GAUGAACGCUGGCGGCGUGCCUAAUACAUGCCAGUCGAGCGAACAGACGAGGAGCUUGCUCCUCUGACGUUAGCGGCGGACGGGUGAGUAACACGUGUAUAACCUACCUAUAAGACUGGGAUAACUUCGGGAAACCGGAUCUAAUACCGGAUAAUAUAUUGAACCGCAUGGUUCAAUAGUGAAAGACGGUUUUGCUGUCACUUAUAGAUGGAUCCGCGCCGCAUUAGCUAGUUGGUAAGGUAACGGCUUACCAAGGCAACGAUGCGUAGCCGACCUGAGAGGGUGAUCGGCCACACUGGAACUGGGCCACGGUCCAGACUCCUAAGGGAGGCAGCAGUAGGGAAUCUUCCGCAAUGGGCGAAAGCAUGACGGAGCAACGCCGCGUGAGUGAUGAAGGUCUUCGGAUCGUAAAACUCUGUUAUUAGGGAAGAACAAAUGUGUAAGUAACUAUGCACGUCUUGACGGUACCUAAUAAGAAAGCCACGGCUAACUACGUG